GCGUGGCCCGUGUGUCGCCGCCACGGAAUGGCUUCUCCCGCUGCCGCCCGGCGUGGGGCCUGUCCUAGUUUGUCUCCGGCAGGGGAGCGUCAAGCGCACAGGCAAAUUCAGUCCUGAAUGAUAGAAGUUUCCUCGUUAGCAGCUCAGCUUCCUAAUUCAAUGGUUGCACACCCUUUGUAGAAAGCGCUGAGGCGCCGGCUCACGCUGUCAGGCGCUGGCCGUCGCGUCUUCGUGGCCAUCCCACCCCUGCUCCCGCACCUUGUGCUGCCUGACUCGGUGUUACCAAGGGUCGGAGGGAACAAACACACCCAAGGGGAAAAACCGACAGCCUCCACCCACGCUUUGGUGUUUGGGUUUGGCUACAUUAAACUUGGAUGCAAACAACGACAAUUAAAAUAAUGCCGCACAUAUUGUCACAAUGUUUCACGUAAACCCUGGAACGUUGCUGUACUUUCUCUUCCAAGUAUUUCAACACUGUCAGUGCAAUACAAAGGCGCUGGAAAUGCGUGUUGACUGACAGAAUCGUGUACAAAUACAUGUUUGAAAAGCAGGCAGUGCAUAGGUCACACGGCUUUGGGAUCGGCUGGGUUUGCAUUGCAGCAGUACUGUUGUGAUCCAAACAGAAACAGUGACUUUCUGUUUAAUUUCCUGGAUUGUCUGAAAUGGGCAUUUGAUACCUAUUGUGUAUGCAAUAUGCCACUUUAACAGUCCUGGAGCCCGGAGUUCUGCUCAGCCACAACACAGGACAUGAAGCUGACAGCAGGGUGGAUUUGUACAUGCUGCUCACCUUAUGCUCCUUAAUUGUGCUCAGCAGAGACCAGUCUAAGGACAGAGGUAGUUUUGUUUUCACGCUAAUUUAAUCCCUGGCUACUCUACUGGGACUGCCACCAACUAAGAUGGAAUAGUGUUUUAUGAUGAUAAUAUUUACUGAGAAAUUGGCAAAAUGCUAAGAAAUGCCCUGUUAUAUGAGUCAAGGGAAAAUGGUAUGUCAUGUUACUAUUGACCUGUCCCUGAUUUUAACAUAUGACUAGCUGAGAAAAGUCCUUUACACCCCUACCAGUCCUUGAAAGUAACUCAAAUUGAUAUUUCCUGUUCAAGAUCAUUGUUUGCUUUAUCUAGUUUCUUAUAGGGCUUUGCAUGAAGAGUUUAAUCUUUAGCAACAAAACAUUUUUAUAAAAGUCCACUGUGUUUAACAAUACUGUUAUUUAUUUUAAACUUAUUGCCUGUACAUGGGAAUUGUAUGUUCAAUUAUCUAGCUUGUGUCCAGAUACAGAAAAUAAGCAUGUUUUCCUACUAGUAUAAUAAUAUUCACUUACUGUUUCUUUACUUUUCUUCAUCUUCAUGAGCAUGCAGUCCUACUUUGGGGACUACAUCUAUGCUUAAAUUUAAAUAAUUAAACUAAAUCAAAUGUAGUCAUCAGAGUUUAUAAAAAGGGAAUUGUGUGUGUAUGUAUAGAUAUUUCCCAAAACAUUAAAUCACUUCUAUUUCUUCUUGUUCAGAAGAGCCAUUUUCUUCAAAUGACUCAGGUUUGGACUUAGGCCCAGCAAGACACUUGACACUAAGAUUUAGAAUUUUUCACUACAGUGCCCUGCACUGGUGCCCAACACUGGAGUUAUAAUAAAAUUACUACCUUUUUUUUUUUUUUUUUAAUCUCUUGCAAAUGAUUGAUCAUUCCUGUUGAAUACCAAAUAAUGUAUCCUUAUCAUAAUGUGAAUAGCUCUGCAACUGAUGCCCUCCAUCAUGAACUCUUCAGGGCAGUUUUUUUAUGUGAAUUAUCGUAAUUUUUUUAAUGCAAAGAUAUUAUUUGAAAAUAUUUACUGCAAAUUGCCUAAUGCAUUUAUUAAGGCAGCAGAGUAAUAGAUGGGUAAGAGAAUAUAUAGUAGAUGUUGCUCAGAUAGUGAAUGUCCCAUAGCUAUUAACAUUAGGAAUGUAAGAUGCUGUUUCACUUACAGUUUUAGCCAUCAAAAAUAAAAGCCUAGCCAAAGUCUGCUGAAACUACAGCUCACUGGAGCACAACUACAAAGGACUUUUUGCACUGACAAUAUAUAACUAUCUAUACAAAUUAGGAAAUAAAAAUGCUAUAAAUAUCAAGAAAGUAUUUAGAUUACAGCUCCAGCAGAGUUCCCAGCAAUAUUAAUUCCCAGAGUUAGUAUCCCAGUUACCAAAUAAUUACAGAUUAAGCGCACAAGGUACAGAAUACAGAGUUACAUAAUGAGUCUUUCAAGUGAUACUAUGCAUUUGAUACCACCGAACAUUGAAACAAUAGAACAUCCCUUAUACACACUUUCAUGCUGGACAUCAAGCCCAAACUUCUCUCCUUUUCAUUUCUAUUUAUAUAUUUGAUCAGGAGCACUAGUAAAUACUGCAACAACAUGCAGCUAAAUCAAAAGAAUAUUUGGUGAAACAGUCACCUGUUUAUUUGUCUCUUUCAGGAGUUAAGUGGUCUGAACAAUUACUACAUAGUUUGUUCUGAGUAAUAGGGUUUAAUUGCUGCUUUUCCCUAUUCUAACUACUGUUGUUCAUUAUGAUUGCAAGUUACCACUUUUCCAGGAAAUAGAUUGAAAGGCCUCUGGGGUAAGCACUUCUGUUUAUUAAAUGCUCUAGUAGUGACUUGAAUGGUGGAUUUCAAAUUGAUUUGAAGUGGAACUUCUGGACAUGAUUGCAAUAUAAAUAUUAAAUAAUAAUUAGUGGAAGUAAUAACCACCUGAAAGACACAAAGAGGCAAUAAGUAAUUUUCCUUUAAAAAGUGCAUACUGACGUUUAUUUUAAAUAUUCCGUAAUUUAAAUUUUGCCAAAAUGUCUUACUGUAAAAUUUUCUGAAUUUAUGUGAUUCACAAGUGGAUGACACCACAUUUAUGCUGGUGAAAUUAACACAAAACUGGUAUAAUUCAGUGGCAAUUAAGUCUUAGAAGUGUGCUGUUAUAACUUCUUAAUGCAUAAUGUGUAUCUACUGUAUUUAAAGAGAAGCUAAGUAAGCAACCUCUGUUCAGUCUAACUUCAAUACAAUGCCAAAUUUACACUGGCUAAAUACACCAUACAAAUAAGUUUUCUCUGUAUUUGAUUGUUUUGUUUCUCAAAUAGCAGAAUCAAAGUGAUGAAUGUAAAUGCAUAGUGUGACUAAAUUUUGUGAUAUUAUGCAAGUACCAAUAGAAAACCUUGGUAACACCACAACCCAUUUUUUAUAUGCUGUGUUCUAGAAAUGGUUAGGAAUGUUUUAGAGUUAUUUUUAACCAUUUUAUUUGUAUUUAUUUGUGACUUUUUGUUUGUAUUUAUCUUCCUCAGCAUGGGAGAGCUGGUGAAUUCUGAGAAACACUUGGGACAUGGAAGAGCGUUUCAUAUGGUGGAGAGUAGAAAAAAAAGUGGUGUUAAGGUUUCAUCUACUGUUUUACUCCACCAAAAGAUACUUUUCUAUAUCUUUACAUGGCAGGUAUAUUCUAUAGCAUUCUUCCACAGGAGGAAGAAAAUAGCGACUCUUCAGGCCAAAAAAGUGAAAAAGUUGUCUCUUAACUAAUUUUUAUUCCUGCAAACAAACAAAAGCAUUCAACAGAGAGCUUGACUUUACCAAGAGUGAAGUGCGCUUUAGUCUAGAGGUGUAAUUAUUAAAAUUUCUAGGAAAAAAUACUUAAAAUCUUUUACUUUCUUAAACUAAAGUGAAAAUGCAUAGCUUCUGAUUAACCAUGCUAUUAGCAAUGUAGCAGACUUUACGUCUGAACAUCAUGACACCAUCAACUCAACCCAUUUUCAUGAAUAUUUCCAACUGUUGUGAUUAAACAGCAUACAUUCAGAUUAAACAGACACAUAGCUCAGAUGAGAGAGACCUUUAAUGAAUUUUGAUACUGUGGGAUAUAAACUAGAUAAGGUUUGUAGAAAAGGUGAUACCUUUCAUUAGAUAAACUGAUAGAAAUGGAAAAAAUAAAGUUUUUGACUUGACUGACAUCAUUAAUGAGAACUGAGAAUGAGAAAAACCCAAACUAAAUACAAGUGGGAUGGUAUUUGUUUUUGUAUAAUAAAAUUAUUUUAAUCAAUUUAACACUGGUGAGAAAACACCUGCUAACAUGAAUGUUCAGAGGAUGAAUCAGCAAGAAAACUGUCAGCUUUACAAAUAAUGUUGCUACUGUCUCCAUGAAGAAUGUAGUUCCAUGAUUGUUUUUCAAACAUGACUUGGAGGUCCCAUUUUAGUCCCUGCUCUGAGAUGGACUAUUUUUUUUUUUUUAUGUAUGAAAUAAUUACUAUGAAAUAAUUAUUCUCCUACCCUUUGCUGUGUUUUGUCUGUGAUCUGUUAUCUGUAUCAAUUCAUUGUAGUUAAUAACAGUUGAUGAGUUCUGUGCAUGUAAUUUUCAUAGGGAUGUGUGAUACUUAGUGUAAUAAAUUUAAAGAGUAUCAAGAAAACUCAUGGAAAUUAAUUAUUUUGGUCACUGAUAUCAAUUAUAUUAAAUAUGUGAGUAUCCAUGAAGUUUACUUUGGCUGUGCCAGCAAGGUUUCACACUAAUGAGUGUUUGUUAGUAUAGGGAGUUUAAUACUGGAAUCAUUGUUUAAAAAGAGAUGUGGGAAAAAAGAAGUCUUCAAGGACAUGUAAAUGCUGUAAUUAUCUAACCGUAUUUUUUGUAUCUAUACCAGCAUUGAGUAUUACGCAAUAAACAUGAAUAUUUUAUCAAU
Long non-coding RNA from Parus major (Great Tit), 4656 nucleotides. RefSeq lists it as uncharacterized. Lineage: Eukaryota; Metazoa; Chordata; Aves; Passeriformes; Paridae. The record is from RefSeq and is a predicted model, not a curated record. The transcript is spliced from 2 exons.